GGGGCUAUAGCUCAGUUGGAAGAGUGCCUGGAUCGCACCCAGGAGGUCGCCGGUUCGAGCCCGGCUAGCUCCA
Molecule: transfer RNA, 73 nt
Filed under: Thermoleophilaceae bacterium
Lineage: Bacteria; Bacillati; Actinomycetota; Thermoleophilia; Thermoleophilales; Thermoleophilaceae
Also listed under: 1 other name
Description: tRNA-Ala
Rfam family: tRNA
About the family: Transfer RNA (tRNA) molecules are approximately 80 nucleotides in length. Their secondary structure includes four short double-helical elements and three loops (D, anti-codon, and T loops).
Source: RNAcentral